RNAcentral lists this long non-coding RNA (3776 nucleotides) under Mustela putorius furo (domestic ferret). RNAcentral describes it as "lncRNA (ENSMPUG00000028225.1)". The record is from RNAcentral. Lineage: Eukaryota; Metazoa; Chordata; Mammalia; Carnivora; Mustelidae.
AUGAUCUAUUGUUAUUUAUUCACCCUUCUUGGGGACAUAAUCUGGAAUCUGUCCAUGGUGAAACAUCAGGCAUCCCUUGACAGUCUAAAAGCCCCACCCUCGUUAGAGCCUUCUGUGGUUCAUUUAUUAAGGAGGGCAAGGUUGCUCUGCCAUUUCUCUACCAUUAUAGAAGAUUGGGCUAACUUGCCAAGUUUCACCAUUGCCAAUAUAGACUCUGAAGCAACAAAUACCUCAGAGGAUUCAAAGAUGAAAAAUCUCCUGUUUUUUGCUGCCUGUGGAGGUGACAACCAUCUCUUACUUGCAUCAUGGUCACCCUCAGACCUCCAGUGAUGAGUAAGAUCAUUAAGCCGAAGGCCAAGAAGUUUAUCCAGCACCAGGCAGACUGAUGUGUCAAAAUUAAGAGCAACUGAUGGAAACCCAGAAGCACUGACGAUAGGGUGUGCGGAAGAUUCAAGGUCCAGAUCUUGACGCCCAACACUCGUUACAGGAGCAACAAGAAAACAAAGCACAUGCUGCCCAGUGGCUUCCAGAAGUUCCUAGUCCACAAUGUAAAGGAGCUUGAAAUGCUGCUAAUGUGCAACAAAUCUCUCUGUGCUUUCAAUGUCUCCUCCAGGGACCACAAAACCAUUGUGGAAAGAGCAGCCUGGCUGACCAUCAAAGUCAGUAAUCCCAAUGCCAAGCUAUUCAGUGAAGAAAAUGAUUAGACAGCUUAUGUACAUGUAGUAUUUGUGUUAAUAAAACCAUAAAACUAGCAAUAAUUGCACACUUGCUACGCCUAUCAUCAGUUUACCAGACAAAGAGGUAGAGAGCUAAGGCAUUCCAGUAUGAUGGCUUUGAACAAAAUCAAUAAAAUUGUUGGAGGAGAGUAACCAAUAAAUAAUUUGAAGAAUUUGGAAGGUUUAGACAAUGGAGAGUAUCAUGUGCUAUGCAAAAAGAUUCAGACUUAAUAGUACAGGGGAUGAGGAGCUCUAUGGGAUAAAAGAGCUAUAAGCAGGCAAGAUGCAUGGUUCCAUCUGUAUGUAAAAAUUAUCAUCUGUGGCCCCUGUAGGAAAUAGCUUGGAGGGAAAUGAGAUACAAAUCAGGGAAUCAACUUAGAAAGUUGUUACAAAAACUCACAAACAAGGUGUUGGAUCAGGGAUGGCACUGAGGAAGAAAAGAAAGGAAUGGGUUUUUGCUAUUAACUCUUGGAAUGAUUUCUCUGAAACUUUAACAAAGUCUUGCUUCCAGUUUUGGCUUGUAUCAUCUACCUAGGGGCUUUCAAAUAAAUUUUUAUAUUAUUUAUUUGUUGGCCUCUAAGAGACCUUUUUUGAUGACUAUAUAUAUAUUUUUUUAAAUCACUAAACUAUAGAGCUUUCAUUGUGAGGAUAAAAAGAAUAAAUGGAUGUGAAAGCAUUUUGCAAAGUAUUACACAAAGUAUUACACAAAUGGAAACUAUUUUUAUUCCCAGUAAGUCAAUUUAGUUUACAAAGAGAAAAAAAAUCACUUCCCUACAUGUAAGCUCCCAUAAGCAAACUCCCCAGGCAGAAUGAAUCACUCUUAUAACCAUAGCACUUUUUUGUACUUCUAUCAUAACACCUCCAUUAAUUAUAAAUUGUUUAUGCAUUGGUUUUUCCUUGUAGCAUAUAAAUCCUUUAGAGGCAGAGAGAGAGUCUUAUGAAUCUUUGCAACCUGGUUUGUGGUAGACAGUAAGUGCUCAGUAAAUGUUAAUUGCAUGCAUGAAUGAAUGAUUAGUUCCCAGGAAAGGAUAAAGGCAGGUUGUAGGCAGCUGAUGGGGACUUCAAAAGUAAAAUAAAUAAUAGAGUAAAUGUGUUGAAAUGAGAAGAUUCAGGGUGAUUUGUGAUCAUAUAUUUUAUUUUAGUCUAGAAGAUAUACAUAGAUUUACUAAACUGCCAAAAUAUGGUAUCAACUUGCUCUCAGUAAAGUUAAAUAUUUUGUAACACUGAUAAUUAAACAUCCUUUUGCAGUAUUGUAUUCUUUACCCAUUCAUUUAGCAAAUUCUUUCCAGUGGCUGAUAAGUAUAGGACACUGUGCUAUGGUUUAUAAAUAGUCAUAUUCCUGUCCUCAUGAAGUUUGCUAUCCAUGGGGGAAGGAAGGGAAGACAACUGGCUCCAAACCAUAUUUUAUAAUAAUUACCAUUUAUCAUUUCUUAUAUUCAUUACAACCUUAUCAGGUAAGCAUUAUUAUGCUCAUUUUCCAAAAAGAACCUUAAGCUAAGAGAACUUUAUUAAUUUAUCUGGGCUCACUGAACUAGGAAGGGACUGAACCAUAUCGACUGAUCACAAGGAAAGGCGUCAAAGGUUAUUUUUUCAUUUCAGAAUCUAGAUUUUCUGGCAGUCACUGAGAUUAAUUCAGCAAAUAUUAAUAGAAUGCCAAGAAGGACAGAUGUUUAAAAUGAUAAGUUAUAAUAAUAAAGUUCCCAUCCUCAUGGAGUUUUUGGUUUGGGGGAAGGGUUUAGAAAAAUGAACAUAAUCAUAAAGUGGGAUUUUAACCAAGACUGACAGAUCUUGUGGGGGGAUAUGGUUCUCAGGAGCUAAGGAGUAUUGUGGUGUGGUGUGAAAAGUGUCCUGGGCUUGGGGGUUAAAGGCCACUAUUUAAGACCCCAUUCUAAUUCUCCUGCUUGGGGACUGAGGGUGAGACACUUAACAUUCUGGGCCUUACUGUCUUUUUAUGUUUUUCAAGAUUUUUAUUUGUUUAUUUGACAGAGAGAGAGAUCACAAGUAGGCAGAGAGGCAGGUGGUGGGGGGUGGCGGGUGGCAGGGGAAGCAGGGUCCCUGCUGAGCAGAGAUCCUGAUGAGGGGCUCAAUCCCAGGACCUGGGAUCAAGGCAGAGGCUUUAACCCACUGAGCCACCAAAGCACCCCGACCUUACUGUUUUUGUUUAUUAAACAUGAGUGAGGUUUCUACCUCAUUUCAAGAAUUAAUGGGUUCAGAUAAGGGAAAGCAGUUUCUAAAGUGCAGUACAGAUGAAUGAUAAAGGAAUCCAAUUUCCUAGAAGUGUCUCCUUGGUGUAAGAGCCAUCAAAUAAGAGAAAGCAUAGAGAAGUGAUUUAUAUAUUCCUCUCCCUAGUACAUAAUCUGGUGCCUGUCACAUAGUAAGUGCUUAAUAAAUACUUACUGAGCUUAGCUCCUGAAUUGGCUUCAAGAAAACAGAGAGGACCAAAUCUUUCUUCCAGCUAGUGGGGAGGACUUACUGUACCCAACUUCAUGGCACCUUCUGAAAACACGGAGCAGCUGUCAACAAAUACAUUAGUUAUAAUCCAAAGUGCCAUUUAAAUUGGGUAUUUUUGUUUGUUCAUUUGGUUGUAUUUUUAGAGGUUAUAUAUGUGGCUAUGUAUGUGUGUCUAAAAGAACUUAUUUGGGGGGUUGUGAUGACCAGUCUUCAUAUCUAUUUGGUUCUGUUAAGAAUCUAUUUGCUCCUCUCUAGUGGUAAAUUCUCACAGCAUGAAGCACUAUUGGGGUCUAGAAUAGUACCAUAUAUUCUCCAUGGAUGUCUAUAUUUCAACAGGUAUUAUAGACAUAAGCUAGGGGAUAAAGCUUAAGCCCAGUAAUGCUAUGCACUAGCCAGAGAAAGGAUUUAUUUGAGGAAGGUUGGAUUACUUAGCAGCAUCAAACCACCCCCCCCAGAGGCAGUUAUCUAUCUGCUUAUGAAGACUAGCUUUUUAGUUUGGAUCAUUGACCAGACAUAUACAUGCCUUUGCUACAGAUAUGAACAAAUAAGUACCACCUGCAAGUCUUAAUCUUGUGUGUGAUUACAGUGUUACUAUUAAUAAAAUCAUCU